GACGAACGCUGGCGGCGUGCUUAACACAUGCAAGUCGAACGGAAAGGCCCUGCUUUUGUGGGGUGCUCGAGUGGCGAACGGGUGAGUAACACGUGAGUAACCUGCCCUUGACUUUGGGAUAACUUCAGGAAACUGGGGCUAAUACCGGAUAGGAGCUCCUGCUGCAUGGUGGGGGUUGGAAAGUUUCGGCGGUUGGGGAUGGACUCGCGGCUUAUCAGCUUGUUGGUGGGGUAGUGGCUUACCAAGGCUUUGACGGGUAGCCGGCCUGAGAGGGUGACCGGCCAAAUGGGGACGGAGAUACGGCCCAGACUCCUAGGGGGGGCAGCAGGGGGGAAUAUUGCACAAUGGGCGGAAGCCUGAUGCAGAAACGCCGCGGGGGGGAUGACGGCCUUGGGGUGGUAAACCGCUUUCGCCUGUGACGAAGCGGGAGUGACGGUAAUGGGUAAAGAAGCACCGGCUAACUACGU
This 467-nucleotide ribosomal RNA is filed under the name uncultured bacterium. RNAcentral's name for it is "partial 16S ribosomal RNA". It matches the Rfam family "Bacterial small subunit ribosomal RNA", at positions 28 to 506 of the family's 1533-position model. The record is from RNAcentral.